AAAAUAGCAAUGAAAAAAAAUACCAAACCAUGGAAACAGUUAUUCAGCAAUCACAAAAACAAAAUACAUUCAAGAAAGUGAACUAGUAUCAAAAAUUAUUCCUGAAUUGACAAACACUAUUGAAAAAAUUGUAAAACAAUUUAUGAAUCAAUCAAAAUCUCCACAAAAUGAUAGUGUGAACAGCAGUUUUUACGAGAUCCUGAUCUCGAAUAAUGUCAAUAUGGUUCGAGGACUACAGAACAUCAACCAUGGUCUAUGGAAGCGAUGAAAAAAGCGGUUCAAAAUGUUGUGUCGAGAGAAAUGGGCUACAAAAAAGCUGUCAACUUAUACAAGGUUCCCCAAUCUACACUGGAACGAUCUGUGGUUUCACCUGUUCAGGAAAAAAAAUUGGUUGAUUAUAUCUAAUUAAUAAUAUUCUAUAAAUAUGUAUUUUUACAAGAAGAUUCUAGUAAUGAGGGGUUUUUUCUUAUGCCAAAGAUUUGCUGUUUUUUUUAUUGUAAUAAAAAAGACUUUUAAGUUUGAAAUUUA
Harmonia axyridis is the source of this 528-nucleotide long non-coding RNA. RefSeq lists it as uncharacterized. The record is from RefSeq and is a predicted model, not a curated record. NCBI's taxonomy places the organism in Eukaryota, Metazoa, Arthropoda, Insecta, Coleoptera, Coccinellidae. The transcript is spliced from 3 exons.